RNAcentral lists this ribosomal RNA (405 nucleotides) under uncultured bacterium. Its description in RNAcentral is "partial 16S ribosomal RNA". It matches the Rfam family "Bacterial small subunit ribosomal RNA", at positions 28 to 526 of the family's 1533-position model. The record is from RNAcentral.
GAUGAACGCUGGCGGCGUGCCUAAUACAUGCAAGUCGAACGAAGCGGGGACGGGUGCGUAACCCGUGGAUAACCUCCUCUACGACUGGGAUAACUUCGGGAAACCGGAGCUAAACCUGAUACUUAUAGAUGGAUCCGCGCUGCAUUAGCUCGUUGGUAAGGUAACGGCUUACAAAGGCAACGAUGGAUAGCCGACCUGCGAGGGUGAGCGGACACAGUGGAACUGAGACACGGACCAGAAUCCGACGGGAGGCAGCAGUAGGGAAUGUGCGGAAAGGGGCGAAAGCCUGACGGGGCAACGCGGCGGGAGGGAGGAAGGGCUUCGGAGCGUAAAACUUUGUUAUUAGGGAAGCGGUACCUAAUCAGAAAGCCACGGCUAACUACGUGCCAGCAGCCGCGGUAAUAC